GUACCUACUGAGGAAGCAUCGGCUUACUACGUGCCAGCAGCCGCGGUAAUACGUAGGAUGCAAGCGUUGUCCGGAAUUACUGGGCGUAAAGAGCUCGUAGGCGGGAAGGUACGUUUGGAAGUAAAUCUCACGGCUCAACUGUGAGCUCAUUCCAAAUACGGCUUUUCUUGAGGGCAGCAGGGGAGAAUGGAAUUCCCAGUGUAGCGGUGAAAUGCGUAGAUAUUGGGAAGAAUACCGGUGGCGAAGGCGAUUCUCUGGGCUGUGACUGACGCUGAGGAGCGAAAGCGUGGGUAGCGAACGGGAUUAGAUACCCCGGUAGUCCACGCUGUAAACGAUGGAUGCUAGACGUGUGGGGUAUCGACCCCCUGCGUGUCGCAGCUAACGCAUUAAGCAUCCCGCCUGAGGAGUACGGCCGCAAGGUUAAAACUCAAAGGAAUUGACGGGGGCCCGCACAAGCGGAGGAACAUGUGGUUUAAUUCGAUGAUACGCGAGGAACCUUACCCGGGCUUGAAUUGCAGAGGAAGGAUUUGGAGACAAUGACGCCCUUCGGGGCCUCUGUGAAGGUGCUGCAUGGUUGUCGUCAGCUCGUGCCGUGAGGUGUCGGCUUAAGUGCCAUAACGAGCGCAACCCCUCUCCUUAGUUGCCAUCAGGUCAAGCUGGGCACUCUGAGGACACUGCCACCGUAAGGUGUGAGGAAGGUGGGGAUGACGUCAAAUCAGCACGGCCCUUACGUCCGGGGCUACACACGUGUUACAAUGGCAGGUACAGAGAGAUGGUCCCUUGCAAAAUGGAUCAAAUCCUUAAAGCCUGUCUCAGUUCGGACUGGGGUCUGCAACCCGACCCCACGAAGCUGGAUUCGCUAGUAAUCGCGCAUCAGCCAUGGCGCGGUGAAUACGUUCCCGGGCCUUGCACUCACCGCCCGUCAAG
This 927-nucleotide ribosomal RNA is filed under the name uncultured bacterium. RNAcentral describes it as "bacterial SSU rRNA". It matches the Rfam family "Bacterial small subunit ribosomal RNA", at positions 475 to 1401 of the family's 1533-position model. The record is from RNAcentral.